This 378-nucleotide unclassified non-coding RNA is filed under the name plant metagenome. RNAcentral describes it as "partial contains 5.8S ribosomal RNA, internal transcribed spacer 2, and large subunit ribosomal RNA". The stretch from base 1 to 105 matches the Rfam family "5.8S ribosomal RNA", at positions 50 to 154 of the family's 154-position model. The record is from RNAcentral.
GAAAUGCGAUAAGUAAUGUGAAUUGCAGAAUUCAGUGAAUCAUCGAAUCUUUGAACGCAUCUUGCGCUCCUUGGUAUUCCUUGGAGCAUGCCUGUUUGAGUAUCAUGAAAUCUUCAAAGUAAAUCUUUUGUUAACUCAAUUGGUUUCUACUUUGGUAUUGGAGGUCUUUGCAGCUUCACACCUGCUCCUCUUUGUUCAUUAGCUGGAUCUCAGUGUUAUGCUUGGUUCCACUCGGCGUGAUAAGUUAUCUAUCGCUGAGGACACUGUAAAAGGUGGCCAAGGUAAAUGCAGAUGAACCUCUUCUAAUAGUCCAUUGACUUGGACAAUACUUUUAUGAUCUGAUCUCAAAUCAGGUAGGACUACCCGCUGAACUUAAGC